CCUGGCUCAGGAUGAACGCUAGCGACAGGCUUAACACAUGCAAGUCGAGGGGCAGCGGGGGUAGCAAUACCCGCCGGCGACCGGCGCACGGGUGAGUAACGCGUAUGCAACUUACCUAUCAGAGGGGGAUAACCCGGCGAAAGUCGGACUAAUACCGCAUGAAGCAGAGGCCCCGCAUGGGGAUAUUUGCUAAAGAUUCAUCGCUGAUAGAUAGGCAUGCGUUCCAUUAGGCAGUUGGCGGGGUAACGGCCCACCAAACCGACGAUGGAUAGGGGUUCUGAGAGGAAGGUCCCCCACAUUGGUACUGAGACACGGACCAAACUCCUACGGGAGGCAGCAGUGAGGAAUAUUGGUCAAUGGGCGUAAGCCUGAACCAGCCAAGUCGCGUGAGGGAUGAAGGUUCUAUGGAUCGUAAACCUCUUUUAUAAGGGAAUAAAGUGCGGGACGUGUCCCGUUUUGUAUGUACCUUAUGAAUAAGGAUCGGCUAACUCCGUGCCAGCAGCCGCGGUAAUACGGAGGAUCCGAGCGUUAUCCGGAUUUAUUGGGUUUAAAGGGUGCGUAGGCGGCCUUUUAAGUCAGCGGUGAAAGUCUGUGGCUCAACCAUAGAAUUGCCGUUGAAACUGGGGGGCUUGAGUAUGUUUGAGGCAGGCGGAAUGCGUGGUGUAGCGGUGAAAUGCUUAGAUAUCACGCAGAACCCCGAUUGCGAAGGCAGCCUGCCAAGCCAUGACUGACGCUGAUGCACGAAAGCGUGGGGAUCAAACAGGAUUAGAUACCCUGGUAGUCCACGCAGUAAACGAUGAUCACUAGCUGUUUGCGAUACACUGUAAGCGGCACAGCGAAAGCGUUAAGUGAUCCACCUGGGGAGUACGCCGGCAACGGUGAAACUCAAAGGAAUUGACGGGGGCCCGCACAAGCGGAGGAACAUGUGGUUUAAUUCGAUGAUACGCGAGGAACCUUACCCGGGUUUGAACGCAUUCGGACCGAGGUGGAAACACCUUUUCUAGCAAUAGCCGUUUGCGAGGUGCUGCAUGGUUGUCGUCAGCUCGUGCCGUGAGGUGUCGGCUUAAGUGCCAUAACGAGCGCAACCCUUGCCACUAGUUACUAACAGGUAAAGCUGAGGACUCUGGUGGGACUGCCAGCGUAAGCUGCGAGGAAGGCGGGGAUGACGUCAAAUCAGCACGGCCCUUACAUCCGGGGCGACACACGUGUUACAAUGGCGUGGACAAAGGGAAGCCACCUGGCGACAGGGAGCGAAUCCCCAAACCACGUCUCAGUUCGGAUCGGAGUCUGCAACCCGACUCCGUGAAGCUGGAUUCGCUAGUAAUCGCGCAUCAGCCAUGGCGCGGUGAAUACGUUCCCGGGCCUUGCACACACCGCCC
RNAcentral lists this ribosomal RNA (1379 nucleotides) under uncultured bacterium. RNAcentral describes it as "bacterial SSU rRNA". It matches the Rfam family "Bacterial small subunit ribosomal RNA", at positions 18 to 1395 of the family's 1533-position model. The record is from RNAcentral.